GGGGCUUGAUGCUGGCUACCAUCCUUUGGCGGCAUGUGCUCGCCCCCCCAGCAAUACUUUUCCAAACACCUGUGCACCUUGUGAGUUCGAGGAAGAGGGGACUCUUUCUUGUCUCAUGAUUCAUAAACGCUGAUUGUAAAUGUUGAAUGCUGUUCGUGCCAUAAAGGCCUUAACCAUAAUAUACAACUUUUGACAACGGAUCUCUUGGCUCUCGCAUCGAUGAAGAACGCAGCGAAAUGCGAUAAGUAAUGUGAAUUGCAGAAUUCAGUGAAUCAUCGAAUCUUUGAACGCACCUUGCGCUCCCUGGUAUUCCGGAGAGCACGCCUGUUCGAGUGUCGUGAAACUGUCAAGCUAGGAUGAUUUUUUUUUCUGUCCUUGCUUGGUUUGUUGGGCUUUGCCGUGUCCUUUCACUAGGAACGGGCUGGCCUUAAAAAGUAUUAGCCCCGACUCCCAAGUGGUUUAUUGGUAUUUCUACUCGGCGUGAUAA
Molecule: ribosomal RNA, 487 nt
Filed under: uncultured Clavulinaceae
Lineage: Eukaryota; Fungi; Basidiomycota; Agaricomycetes; Cantharellales; Hydnaceae
Description: eukaryotic LSU rRNA
Rfam family: 5.8S ribosomal RNA (bases 185-338)
Source: RNAcentral